Molecule: long non-coding RNA, 1700 nt
Organism: Leopardus geoffroyi (Geoffroy's cat)
Lineage: Eukaryota; Metazoa; Chordata; Mammalia; Carnivora; Felidae
Exons: 5
Source: RefSeq, a predicted model, not a curated record
UGCCACCCGGCCCCCGGCCCCUCCACGCACCCCUGUCCCGGGGACGGCCAGGCAGACAGCCCUCCACCUCAGGUCCCCGGCCUCCGCACAAUUCAGAGGCCACCUCUGCGGAGGGGAGGGCCGUGCGAGGCCGUGCGCCCCCGCGGGCACCUGGGGGGAACGGUGAGAACCCGGGUAGGGGCGAACGAAUGCAGAGAAGGAGUUAAGGGGGAGCCUCUCCUCUGCCUCCAGAUUGGGGAGCCGCAGCGAGAAAGACUUCUUUCUUAGGUUUGGCUAUUGGAAACCUUCUCCCUGCGGAUCCCGUCCAGAGAGGACCCCAGAUUCUGGGAAGCAGGGAGAAGCCCGACACCCCCAUCGCCACCACCCCGUGCAGCCGGGGGGUGGGGGGCCACCCUCUCUGGGGCUUUGCUGAAAAUGGGCCUUCCGGGUGGAGGUGGGGGAGUGUUUGUUACUGUUUCUUUUAACUCUUGAGAGUUCCAGGAUCUUAUCUUGUUUGGGGCUCACAACCCAUACUUUCAGGCAGAGUUCCUAGCUGCUUUCACAAACAUGGAAAAAGUGAGGUCCCGGAGUCUUGGAAUUGACCCGAGGCUGAAGAAUGAUCUAGGGGCAUGAGGUCCAAGCUCCUAGCUCACUACUUGGACCCUCUCCUGAGAGCUGUGGAAGGCACGUGGGCCCACACACAGAGACAGAGAAUGGCUUAUAUACGGGGUGUUACAAGAGAAAAAAAAUGGGCAUAAACAUAGGUUGUGUUCAUCAUUGCCAAGUUCAUGCUACUGAACUACUAGGAACCCAGAUGGUUGGGCUAUUUCCUAAUUAACAAAUAACUAUGCAGCCCCCACUGGUACACAGACCCUGUGUCCUUGAGGCAGGGCCUUAAGGUGCCAGGAGCCCAUCGGGGACCCAACGUCAAGGCCAGAUGAGCUGACCAGACAGGGGGGGAAGUUUAACCAGAGGAUGCACCGAAAUGCAAUGUCAAGGCAGAAGACCAGCAAAUUCUUUUUUAACCUCUCAAGACCCUUUCCAAGAGUCCCCAGCCUGUCCCAUCUCUCCUCAUCUGCGGCUCUGGAAGCCCAGUGGAGGCCCAUGGAGCCAAUGGGCACUCACGGGUGCCUGGGCGCAUGCCUCCCGGAUUCGAGGAAAAGUACUCUGCCUGAAGGCCUGGCUUCCCGGGAGUUUCCAGAAACUGAUUUUCUAGAAAUUGCCCAAUGCCGCUAGAAUCUAUGCCAUUGUUUAAAACUGACUUCUGCCAAGGGAAAGGACGUGGAGUCUGAGAAUCGCAAAGAAUCCCUGGAUAGGACCUCAGAGAUCAAGUCCAACCUCCCUCCCUCUGAAUCCCGUAGAACAUGAUGCAAAGGCUAGUGGCAGAGAGAGAUGCUGAGAAGCAGAAGGAAUCAGGCUCGAGCAAAAAGGAGGGAAGAUAUGUGGUGUGGUGGACAGUGGGCAGAUGGUAAUGGUCUGAGCUGUGUGACCUCAGGCACGUUCUUAACCUCUCUGGGCCUCUGUGCUUUUAUCUGUAAGAUAAAAGAGUUCCUGCCUGGCAGGGUGGCUGUGAGAUCAAAGACACAUAUAUAGAGAAGAGAUGCUCCCGUAAGACUUCAGUAAGAUUCAGAUCAUUUCUAUGGCAUAAAAUGAACCACACUCAGAAGAAAAAUUGUCCCUCAACUUGGAAGAUUACCUAUAAUGUAAAAUAUUAAUGUGUU